This 137-nucleotide transfer-messenger RNA is filed under the name Luminiphilus sp. RNAcentral describes it as "partial transfer-messenger RNA". It matches the Rfam family "transfer-messenger RNA", at positions 1 to 135 of the family's 374-position model. From Rfam's summary of the family: Bacterial tmRNA, also known as 10Sa RNA or SsrA, is named for its dual tRNA and mRNA-like properties. Its role is to liberate the mRNA from a stalled ribosome. To accomplish this part of the tmRNA is used as a reading frame that ends in a translation stop signal. Lineage: Bacteria; Pseudomonadati; Pseudomonadota; Gammaproteobacteria; Cellvibrionales; Halieaceae. The record is from RNAcentral.
GGGGGCGUUACGGAUUCGACGACGGUAACGAAACCUGCGGUGCAUGCCGUGAUGGUAGCCAAUCACGUAAAUCCAAAGCUGCAAACUAUUAGUUGCCAAUGACGACAACUACGGUGCACAACUGGCUGCGUAAGUAG